GACGGAGGGGGCUAGCGUUGUUCGGAAUUACUGGGCGUAAAGGGCGCGUAGGCGGAUUAGUAAGUUGGGAGUGAAGGCCCGGGGCUUAACCUCGGAACUGCUUUCAAAACUGCUAGUCUUGAGUGAAGUAGGGGAUGAUGGAAUUCCUAGUGUAGAGGUGAAAUUCUUAGAUAUUAGGAGGAACACCGGUGGCGAAGGUGGUCAUCUGGACUUCAAAUGACUCUGAGGCGCGAAAGCGUGGGGAGCAAACAGG
RNAcentral lists this ribosomal RNA (253 nucleotides) under uncultured bacterium. Its description in RNAcentral is "partial 16S ribosomal RNA". It matches the Rfam family "Bacterial small subunit ribosomal RNA", at positions 524 to 776 of the family's 1533-position model. The record is from RNAcentral.